Molecule: non-coding RNA, 1365 nt
Filed under: Brassica napus (rape)
Lineage: Eukaryota; Viridiplantae; Streptophyta; Magnoliopsida; Brassicales; Brassicaceae
Description: Eukaryotic large subunit ribosomal RNA
Rfam family: Eukaryotic large subunit ribosomal RNA
Source: Rfam by way of RNAcentral
CCCGCUGAGAUUAAGCAUAUCAAUAAGCGAAGGAAAAGAAACUAACAAGGAUUCCCUUAGUAACGGCGAGCGAACCGGGAAGAGCCUAGCUUGAAAAUCAGACGUCUUUGGCGUUCGAAUUGUAGUCUGCAGAAGCGUCCUCAGCGACGAACCUGGCCCAAGUUCCCUGGAAAGGGCACCAGAGAGGGUGAGAGCCCCAUCGUGCCCGGACACUGUCGCACCACGAGGUGCAGUCUACGAGUCGGGUUGUUUGGGAAUGCAGCCCCAAUAGGGCGGUAAAUUCCGUCCAAGGCUAAAUAUAGGCGAGAGACCAAUAGCGAACAAGUACCGCGAGGUAAAGAUGAAAAGGACUUUGAAAAGAGAGUCAAAGAGUGCUUGAAAUUGUCAGGAGGGAAGCGGAUGGGGGCCGGCGAUUCAUCCCGGUCAGAUGCGGAACGGAGCAAUCCGGUCCGCCGAUCGAUUUGGGCCGUGGCCCGACACGGAUUGAGGUGGUGACCUAAGCCCGGGCUUUUGGUACGCCCGCGGAGACGUUGCUGCCUUAAUCGUGGUCUGCAGCAUGCGCCUCACGGCGUGCCUCGGCAUCUGCGUGCUCAAGGCUUCGGCCUGUGGGCUCCCCAUUCGACCCGUUUUGAAACACGGACCAAGGAGUCUGACAUGUGUGCCAGUCAACGGGUGAGUAAACCCAUAAGGCGCAAGGAAGCUGAUUGGCUGGAUCCCGCACGGGUGCACAGCCGACCGACCUUGAUCUUCUGACAAGGGUUCGACUGUGAGCAUGCCUGUCGGGACCCGAAAGAUGGUGAACUGUGCCUGAGCGGGGUGAAGCCAGAGAAAACUCUGGUGGAGGCCCGCAGCGAUACUGACGUGCAAAUCGUUCGUCUGACUUGGGUAUAGGGCCAACAGACUAAUCAAACCAUCUAGUAGCUGGUUCCCUCCGAAGUUUCCCUCAGGAUAGCUGGAGCUCGGAAACGAGUUAUAUCGAGUAAAGCCAAUGAUUAGAGGCACCGGGGACACCAUGUCUGCGACCUAUUCUCAAACUUUAAAUAGGUAGGACAGUGUAGGAACCCGUUAAAAAAAAGAAAAAGAAAAGAGUGGUCGAGUAUCUUUGUGGUGGUCGAGUCACGGGCGAUAAGGAUCGAUCGAGAAGUUUUGAAGUACGAGGUGGGCGAAGAAGUGAUCGUGAGUGAACUAUGAGUCGAAUAAUUUGCUCGACCAUAGUUAGAAGAUGUCUUAGAUUGAUGAGACGGACGUUUUGGAAGCAUAACAUUUUUGAAAGCACGACGGUUUAGAAGCUCGACGUUUUGGAAGAAUGACGUUUCUUCAGCACGAAGUUUUCCACGAAACUUCGUAUCAGCGGAAUAUUAUUUU